GGCAAAAGCUCAGAUUUGAAAGCCUUUUUGGCAUUGUAUUCUGAAGUCAGUUUCCUGAGUAUCGAUGUCUAAGUCUCCUGGAAAGGAGCGCCAUAGAGGGUGAUAGCCCCGUACGAUAUCUCACUCAUUGUAGGAUUCUGACGUGGAGUCGAGUUGUUUGGGAAUGCAGCUCAAACGGGUGGUAUGCUCCAUCUAAAGCUAAAUAUCUGUGAGAGACCGAUAGCGAACAAGUACUGUGAAGGAAAGAUGAAAAGAACUUUGAAAAGAGAGUGAAAUAGUACGUGAAAUUGUUGAAAUGGAAGGAUAGGCCGCUAACCAUGUAGAGCCGUGUUUGGGGGGAAGACAAAAGCUGAAGAAUGUGGCUCCUCGGAGUGUUAUAGCUUCAGUCAAUAUUCCCACCCGAGCGCGAGGACCUCAGGCUCUACUAAAUGGUGGUCUAUCACCCGUCUU
RNAcentral lists this ribosomal RNA (450 nucleotides) under Starmerella sp. RNAcentral describes it as "partial large subunit ribosomal RNA". It matches the Rfam family "Eukaryotic large subunit ribosomal RNA", at positions 100 to 655 of the family's 3401-position model. Lineage: Eukaryota; Fungi; Ascomycota; Dipodascomycetes; Dipodascales; Trichomonascaceae. The record is from RNAcentral.